Molecule: ribosomal RNA, 322 nt
Filed under: uncultured eukaryote
Lineage: Eukaryota
Description: partial 18S ribosomal RNA
Rfam family: Eukaryotic small subunit ribosomal RNA
Source: RNAcentral
CCCUUAGAUGUUCUGGGCCGCACGCGUGCUACACUGAGUGGAUCAGCGGGUCAGGUUACGCGAGAGCGUUUCCUAAUCUUCAAAUCCGCUCGUGAUGGGGAUUGACGGUUGCAAUUUUCCGUCAUGAACGAGGAAUACCUUGUAAGCGCGGGUCAUCAUCCCGCGCUGAAUACGUCCCUGCCCUUUGUACACACCGCCCGUCGCUCCUACCGAUUGAGUGGUCCGGUGAGGCUUUGGGAUCUAAGCGAAAAGAGCGUUUCGCUCCUUUUGCUGGGAGAACUCAGUCGAACCUUAUCAUUUAGAGGAAGGAGAAGUCGUAGCA